UACGUAGGAUGCAAGCGUUGUCCGGAAUUACUGGGCGUAAAGGGCGAGUAGGCGGUUCGCCAAGUCUGACGUGAAAUAUCCCGGCUUAACCGGGAGGGGUCGUUGGAAACUGGCGGACUAGAGUGAGGUAGAGGCUAACGGAAUUCCCGGUGUAGUGGUGAAAUGCGUAGAGAUCGGGAGGAACACCAGUGGCGAAGGCGGUUAGCUGGGCCUUAACUGACGCUGAGGCGCGAAGGCUAGGGUAGCAAACAGG
RNAcentral lists this ribosomal RNA (253 nucleotides) under uncultured prokaryote. RNAcentral describes it as "partial 16S ribosomal RNA". It matches the Rfam family "Bacterial small subunit ribosomal RNA", at positions 524 to 776 of the family's 1533-position model. The record is from RNAcentral.